RNAcentral lists this ribosomal RNA (484 nucleotides) under uncultured bacterium. RNAcentral's name for it is "partial 16S ribosomal RNA". It matches the Rfam family "Bacterial small subunit ribosomal RNA", at positions 29 to 507 of the family's 1533-position model. The record is from RNAcentral.
AUUGAACGCUGGCGGCAUGCUUUACACAUGCAAGUCGAACGGCAGCGCGGGCUUCGGCCUGGCGGCGAGUGGCGAACGGGUGAGUAAUACAUCGGAACGUGCCCAGUAGUGGGGGAUAGCUCGGCGAAAGCCGGAUUAAUACCGCAUACGACCUGCGGGUGAAACCGGGGGAUCUUCGGACCUCGCGCUCUUGGAGCGGCCGAUGGCAGAUUAGCUAGUUGGUGGGGUAAAGGCCUACCAAGGCGACGAUCUGUAGCUGGUCUGAGAGGACGACCAGCCACACUGGGACUGAGACACGGCCCAGACUCCUACGGGAGGCAGCAGUGGGGAAUUUUGGACAAUGGGCGAAAGCCUGAUCCAGCAAUGCCGCGUGUGUGAUGAAGGCCUUCGGGUUGUAAAGCACUUUUGGCGGGAACGAAAAGGACUGUGCCAAUACCACGGUUCGAUGACGGUACCCGCAGAAUAAGCACCGGCUAACUACGUG